This 278-nucleotide long non-coding RNA is filed under the name Brassica napus (rape). RNAcentral's name for it is "long non-coding RNA (BNAP_LNC010208)". The record is from RNAcentral. Lineage: Eukaryota; Viridiplantae; Streptophyta; Magnoliopsida; Brassicales; Brassicaceae.
AUAUAAAACUUUUUUUGUCAUCACCCUUACUUUAUAGAUAUAUAAAUAUAUAUAAUUAUUUAAAUAAAUAAUAAAUAUAAUUUUUACUAUUUUGAAUAAUAAGUUUCUGAAUUCAAACUUUAAUUAAAUUUUCAAAAAGUUAAAUAUUUAUUGAAAUCCAAUUUUUUUUGAAACUAUUUUUUAUUUUAUUUUAAAUUCUUAGUAUUUGUUUAUUAUUUUUAUAAAAAAAUUCCUAAAACCCACUUCUGACCAAAACCACACCCUUCAAAUAUAACCCC